Molecule: ribosomal RNA, 253 nt
Filed under: uncultured bacterium
Lineage: Bacteria
Description: partial 16S ribosomal RNA
Rfam family: Bacterial small subunit ribosomal RNA
Source: RNAcentral
UACGUAGGUGGCAAGCGUUGUCCGGAUUUACUGGGCGUAAAGAGCGCGCAGGCGGUCGUUCAAGUCGCGUGUGAAAGCCCCCGGCUCAACUGGGGAGGGUCACGCGAUACUGUUCGACUCGAAGGCAGGAGAGGGUAGUGGAAUUCCCGGUGUAGUGGUGAAAUGCGUAGAUAUCGGGAGGAACACCAGUGGCGAAGGCGACUACCUGGCCUGUUCUUGACGCUGAGGCGCGAAAGCUAGGGGAGCAAACGGG